This 32251-nucleotide long non-coding RNA is filed under the name Triticum aestivum (bread wheat). RNAcentral describes it as "long non-coding RNA (TAES_LNC023325)". The stretch from base 29155 to 29225 matches the Rfam family "tRNA". Lineage: Eukaryota; Viridiplantae; Streptophyta; Magnoliopsida; Poales; Poaceae. The record is from RNAcentral.
UCAUGCAAUCGAAUCACGGAGCUCAUGACAAACUACCCUUCCUUGAACGUACUUGUUGGCAGUAUUUCUUUUUUGGGAAAGUUUGGGAGAAAUUCAGGAUUCAUGCCAAGGCAGCCAUCUCACUACAUUUGGCAAAUAAUUUGCAUCUAGAUACAACAAGAAAAUGAAAAGAGGAAAAGAUAAACCUGACCAAUUAAAGACACUGAUGGCCAGGUUACCUUAACAAUUUUACAAAGUUGGGUCAUCACAAGCACAAGAAAUGUCACCUUACAAACUGCUUCGAGCCUGGACUCGCGUGAUGAACAUCAGAACCUCGUGAUGUUUCUACUAGUAGCACAAUCUACUAAGGGCAUGUACAAUGGUUGAUAGGACAGUCUUAUCUUAAGUCUUGCAUGUAAUUUAGAGAUGACAAAAAAAUAUGUCUACAAUGGGUUAUAUCUUAGCCUUAUCUUCAAUAACUAGUUAUUCCUUAAAAUAUGGUGAGACAAAUUGUGCUAAGAGAUCAUCUCUUGUCUUAUCUUAAAUAAGAGAAGACAAGCCUUUUCUUAUGAGUUUUCUCUCCUUCACCUCACCAUUUAUCCUACGUGACACUUCUAAGAUAGCAUCAUUGUACAUGCCCAGAUAGACUCAACUAACUUGACGGUAAAUUAAGGUUAAGCCAAUUCUUACAGCUCCCUCACAUCACGGUGCAGGAGUUGGCAUUGUCGUCGCUGAAAAGAUCGGCGUAGGAGUAGCGCGCCGGCGAAGCCGCGCCCGUCUGCGGCGCCCAAGGCGACGGCUGCGAGUAGUAGCAGCACGGUGGGUACGUGUACGGGAGCUCCUGCGGCGGCAGGGACCUCGCGUCUGGCGCUGCCGUCGCCGGCGCGGCGGCGUAGUAUGCCGCGCUCGCGCUCGGCCGCGCCAUGCUGUAGCUCAGGACGUGCACCGAGGGCGGCGGCGGCGGCGGCUGCAGGUGUGGUGGCGAGUGGCAGGUGUGGCUGCCUUGGUCCGAUGCUGCCGCCACCACCACCGUGGCGAUGGCAUCGACCGGUUUCUCCUCCUCCGGCCGCAGCUGCUUCCGCUUCCUCUGGGGGCCGUUGCAUUGCUCCGCCGUGGGCUCCUUGCUGCGAUGGCUGACAUCGUCGACGCCGCCGGCGUCCGCGUUGGUGCUCUCCGUGUCGUCUUGAGCUGGCCUCACGGUCUCGCGGGCGACUUUGUUGGGAUCUUCUUCAGGGGUGGCCUUGGAGUUGCUCUGCCCUGCGGCGCUUGUCUCCGCGUCGCCGGACGCCGGCUUGUGGGCGGUGCCAGUGCCACCGGGCUUGUCUGGCUGGAUGGAGUCGUUCUUGGUUUCUCCGGGUCUCUGGGUUCCUACGGCCAGCUGCUGCUCCGGCCACUGCUGGGCAUUCUUGCCCGACCUGCGGAGCCUCUUGAGCAGAGCGUCGGCGCUGACGUUCCCGGUGACGGCCACCGUCACCUUGUUGCUCCGGGCGUCGAUGUCGCAUCUGUACACGCCUUCAGGAAAAAGGCGAAUCUAUGGAAUGAGAGGAAAAUCCCAUUCACAGGAGCAAGCAAAAUAAUUGGAGAAGUGAAGACAUAGUGAAAAUGUUGGAGAUAGAUAGACUAGACUGAGGUGACAGCACACCAUCGACGCUCUGCAGCACUUUCUUCACCUUCUUCUUGCAUCCCUCGCAGUGGAUGGACACCCGGAGCACCAGAGUCUGCACGCCAAGAAAUCAAGGAAACCAUGAGGGUAAGACUCGAGUAAUAAUAACACGGCGAGCGAGAGUGACAGUGCUGGGUUUGGGGGAGGUACCUUGCACUGCAGAGGUUCUGUUGCCAUGAGGAGGACGGUCUGUUCGGUGGGGAACGAAGGAAGGUGGAGGGGGAGAGGGAGAAAGGGGAAGUGACGCCGGAUUGUUGGGAGUACCUUUCCACCUUGAGGAGGGUUUGAUUGAUGCUGCCUCCGCUGUGGUUGGGUUCGGGAGAUAUAUCGGCCGUGUUUGGUCACUUGCAGUUGCAGAUGGAGUAAAAUGCAAGAACGGAAGAACCCAUCACAUAUGACAGGUGGGGCCCGCUCGUUAGGAACUGACUUGGCAAAGAAAGGCCACCUGUGUGCGUUGACUAGUCCUCCGCCAUCACCACCAUCCCUUCCCUCGGGCAGCCAUCCCAUCCUCUCUCCCACUUCCCAGCCGCGCUCCCUCCUCCUCGACUCCCGCCGUGGCUUCGUCUCCGUCGUGCCGCCCUGCUGACACGGCCCGCCGCUCGCUAGCACCCCAUCCGCCUUGCCCCACUCUACAGAUCAGGCCUCGAACCAGGCACGCACCGCGAGGCCUUACGGCCGGCCGACCAGCAAGCCGCACCAGAGCGAGCACUGCGACUCGUGCACCGCGCGCGCAUCACCGUGGUGAGCUCCUGCCGGCGUGCGUGCGUGACGUGUGCUUGUGUGCGCGCUGCCUUCGUGUGCUCUGUUCGUGCUUUUGGGGUGCAUGCUGUGAUGGGUAUGGGGAGGCGACGAGCUGCUCGUCCGUGGUAGCUCGGCGACAUGGUGACGGGAGCCAGCUGGGCGGCUCGGCACGGAACCAGAAGUGCGGUCGGACCCGACGGAGCUGCUACACACCCCUGGAGGACGAGGUGGCGAGUUGUCCCCAAUCACUAAGAUGAAGCGCGGGAGCCUCGCCUCAACUCGCCAUUGAAGCUCGCUCUAGCGGCGGAACUUCGAUCAACGUCUCCCUGUCGACCUCCAGCGGCAAAGCUUCUGUCGACGGAAGGUGGCGAGACGACGCGCUCGCGUGCAUGUCGUGUUAGUCUAGGAGUGUUAGACUAUGUAUAGCUUCUGUAUCUAUAUACGUAUAUGGUACAUAUUGUAACACAACCAUUAUAUAUAAUGAGAUAAGCCACUCCUAGAGGGUUGUGCUGGUUCCCCAAAACUUAUUGUCUUACAUGGUAUCACGCUAAGUUACGAUCGCUUCCGCUUCUAAACCCUAAUACCCGUACCGCCGCCGCAGCCGCCGCCGCCUUCACCGCCGCCGCCGCGCCACCGAUCGCGCCGCCGCCAUGUCGAGCGCCGCCACCACCGGUUCCACUGCUGCGGGCUUCCUCCCGGCCUCUCUUGCGGCUCUGCUCAACCUCCCGCUCGAUGCCGUCUCUGUUCCGGCUCCGAUCGGGACAAGGAGCAUCGGCUCCGUCUUCUCCACGCCGCCGGCGCCCUCGCUUGGGCGUGACCUCGUGGUCCACACCGCGGCGCCGCCGUCCGCUGCGGACUCCGCAGGCGUCGUCCCGCCGCUCCUGCCGCAAGCGGAUCACACUGCCCCGCUGGCGGGGUUGGCGGCGUCCGCCCCGGCCGCGGGCCUUGCGGCGUCCGCACCGGCCGCGAGCUUUGCGGCGCCCGCCCUGGCUGCGGUCCCGCCUCCUCCCGCAUCGGCUUCGGUGCCUCCGGCUGCCUCCAUGGUGUUUGCACCCCAGGCAGCCUUCUCGAUGGGAUUGUCUUCGCCGCCGCCAUUUCACUUCGGUCAUCUCAUCACCAUCAAGCUCUCCGCCGACAACUACAUCUUCUGGCGUGCGCAGGUUCUCCCGCUCUUGGGGAGUCACUACCUGCUAGGCUACGUCGACGGAUCGCUUCCCUGCCCAUCCGCGCUGGUAGACAGCGUGCACGGUCCGGUCUACAAUCCGGCCCAUCGCGUCUGGACGGGGCAGGACCAGGCGAACCUCUCCUCCAUCCAGGGGUCGCUCUCGCCGGCAGUUGCCGGCCUUGUUGUCUUCGCGAAGACGUCUCAUGAGGCCUGGACCAUCCUUGAGCGCACCUUUGCAGCGCAGUCCCAGGCUCGUGUCUCUGCACUCCGUCGUCAGCUUGGAGAGUGUCAGAAGCUUGACUCCACUGCCACUGAGUUCUACAACAAGGUCAAGGGCCUCGCCGACACAUUGGCCUCCAUUGGACAGCCCCUCACCGACUCCGAGUUCAACUCGUUUAUUGUCAAUGGUCUUGAUGAGGAGUAUGAUGCCUUAGUCGAGAUCAUCAACGAGCGGGGCAACUCGACACCCAUGCUGGCACACGAGGUUUUCUCUCGGCUCCUUCUCACUGAGCAACGGGUCGAGACUCGCCGCACCAGGGGCACUGGCUCCCUCUCGGCCAACGCCGCCACCAAGGGUGGCCGCUCUUCUUCAUCACCCCGGUCUCCCUUGGGGCUGCCACCGUCGCCCGCCUCGGCCCCCCCACCUACUGCGACCUUACCGGGGGCUGGCGGUCCACGUGUGUGUCAGCUUUGUGGCCGCGAUGGGCACUGGGCCUCCAAGUGUCAUAAGCGCUUCCAGCGAAGCUUCCUUGGUCUUGGCAAUGACGGCAAAAAUACACGCAACAAUGCCCGUCAGGUCGCCAUGGCUGAUCGUCCCGCGCCGCAGAAGCAACAGGGACACACUCAGUCCUACUCCAUCGAUCCACACUGGUACAUGGACUCUGGGGCGACAGAGCAUCUAACCAGCGAGAUGGGGAAGCUUCACACUCGUGAACCCUAUCAUGGCUCCGACAAGAUCCACACCGCCAAUGGAGCAGGUAUGCACAUCUCUCAUAUUGGUCAAGCAUCUCUUCUCACUAGACAUGCCAAUAGGAGUCUUCAGCUUCGCAAUGUUCUUCGAGUUCCAUCUGUGACCCGUAAUCUUCUUUCAGUUCCUAAACUCACACGUGAUAAUAAUGUGCUUUGUGAAUUUCACCCUUUUGAUCUUUUUAUUAAGGAUCGGGGCACGAGGGACAUUCUUCUUAGUGGGCGGUUGUGCCAGGGCCUCUACCGUCUGGAGCAUCCUGGUGUCGCUCGUGUUUUCAGUGGAGUUCGGGUCUCUCCGUCACAGUGGCAUGCUCGUGUUGGUCACCCGGCCACACCUAUUGUCCGUCAUAUUUUGCGUCGUCAUGAGCUUCCUAGUUUGUCUAGUAAUAAAGAUGUAGCAGUGUGUGAUGCUUGUCAGCAGGGGAAGAGUCAUCAACUUCCUUUUUCGGAGUCCAGUCGUGAGGUGAAACAUCCUUUAGAACUUGUGUUUUCAGAUGUAUGGGGUCCUGCUCAGACUUCUGUCAGUGGUCAUAAUUACUAUAUCAGUUUCGUUGAUGCUUAUAGUCGCUUUACCUGGCUUUACCUUAUUAAACGCAAAUCUGAUGUGUUUGAUAUUUUUGUUCAGUUUCAAAAACAUGUUGAACGUCUUCUCAAGCACAAAAUUGUUCAUGUCCAGUCAGACUGGGGGGGGGGCGAGUAUCGCAACCUCAACUCUUUCUUUCAGUCGCUUGGGAUAGCUCAUCGUUUAGCAUGUCCACAUACACAUCAGCAGAAUGGUUCAGUCGAACGUAAGCAUCGUCAUAUUGUUGAAGCUGGUCUUACUCUUUUGGCCCAUGCAUCUGUUCCGUUUCGGUUUUGGAGUGAUGCUUUCACCACUGCAUGCUUUCUCAUCAACCGUACUCCUACUCGUGUUUUAAAUAUGAAGACUCCCAUUGAGGUUCUCCUUAAUGAACAACCUGAUUAUACCUUUCUCAAGGUAUUUGGGUGUGCUUGCUGGCCGCAUCUUCGUCCAUAUAACAAGCGCAAGCUUGAGUUUCGUUCUAAGAAGUGUGUUUUUCUUGGCUAUAGCUCUCUUCAUAAAGGUUACAAAUGUCUUCAUGUUCCCACUAAUCGUGUCUAUAUAUCUCGGGACGUCGUGUUUGAUGAGCAUGUUUUUCCCUUUGCCAACCUUCCUGUGUCCACUGUCGAACCACCAUCCCUGCAUUCAUCCUCUGUUGCUUCUGACCAAUUUGAUGAUGUUGCAUACUCUCCUUUGCUGUUACCUAACCAUGGUGCAGGAACCGGACGUGGAGCUCGUUUGGAGCUGUUGGAGGAUUCACCAUCAUCAUCGUCGUCUUCUGGUGGGCACGUCGAUCGCCCUAUGUUGCAUGGCAUCGAUUCGCGUGCCCAUGCAUGGUCACCCGACAAGCCCGUCGCGCCGAGCAUCUCCACUGCUCGGUCCGUUUCGCCAGCGGCCGCCGAGUCGCCCGCGGCUCGGCCUGUCACGCCAUCUUCGUCUGCGGCUCGGCCCGUCACGCCGUCUUCGCCCGCGGCUCGGGUCCUCACGUCGCCUUCAUCAGCGGAUCGGCCCGCGACACUGGCCGUGCCACGGCCCACUAUGCCGAGCUCGCCAUUGGCCCGGUCUGUGAUGCCGGAGUCGCCAGCUGCUUCGUCUGCUCUGCCGGUUUCACCGGUGGGUCGGCCUUCUUCGCCAACCGAGUCCGAGGCUACCGUGACUGGCUCCUCAUCACCGGCUGACUCGUCAACGUCGCCGUCCUCCAGCCCGUUGCAGGCUGCUCCGUCGACCUCGGUGGUUCCUGUGUCCCGACCACAUACACGCAGUCGCAGUGGCAUUUUCAAACCUAAGGAAUGUAAGGAUGGUACGGUUGCUUGGUUGGCUGCUUGUUUGGCUGCUGCUGUUGCGGAUCCAUCUUCUGAGCCUCGCUCAUAUCAGGCUGCCCUGCGCAUUCCACAUUGGCGAGAGGCUAUGGAGCAGGAGUUUCAUGCUCUUCUUCGUAACAAGACAUGGACUCUCGUUCCUCCACCACCACGGGUAAAUGUUAUUGACUCAAAAUGGGUAUUCAAAGUGAAGAAGCAUUCGGAUGGAUCUAUUGAGCGUUACAAAGCGCGACUUGUUGCUCGCGGUUUUCGGCAGCGUCAUGGUCUUGACUAUGAGGACACCUUCAGUCCUGUCGUCAAGCCUACCACUAUUCGGCUUCUUCUCUCCAUUGCUAUUUCUCGUGGUUGGUCACUUCGUCAACUUGAUGUGCAGAAUGCUUUUCUACAUGGAUUUUUGGAGGAAGAGGUUUAUAUGAAACAGCCGCCUGGUUUCUCUGAUCCUGAUCGUCCUGACUAUAUCUGUCGUCUUUCCAAAGCACUAUAUGGUUUGAAGCAAGCUCCUCGUGCCUGGCAUGCCCGCCUUGCCUCUGCCCUUCGUGCUCAUGGGUUUGUGCCGUCUACUGCUGACACUUCGUUAUUUCUUCUACAGAAGCCAGAAGUCACUAUGUAUCUUUUGGUAUAUGUCGAUGAUAUUAUCCUUGUCAGCUCUUCUCAGUAUGCUGCUGAUGCUCUUGUCUGCUCUCUUGGUGCUGAUUUUGCGGUCAAAGAUCUUGGGAAGCUUCACUACUUUCUUGGAGUUGAGGUCACUUCUCGUGCUACUGGUCUUGUCCUUACGCAGAAGAAGUACUCCUCGGAGUUGUUACAGAGAGCUGGCAUGCUGAAGUGCAAACCGACCACCACACCCAUGUCGUCUACCGACAAGAUAACAGCUGUUGAUGGUGAGCUUUUGUCUCCUGCGGAUGCCACAGAGUACAGGAGCAUUGUUGGUGGACUUCAGUACUUGACGAUCACGAGACCAGAUAUCUCUUAUGUUGUUAACAGGGUUUGUCAGUAUCUUCAGGCUCCCAGAGAUACUCAUUGGGCUGCUGUUAAACGCAUUCUUCGUUAUGUUCAGUUCACCCUGACAUUUGGUAUGCAUAUUCGGCCGACUUCCUCUCGGGUCCUUUUGGCCUUCUCUGAUGCAGAUUGGGCUGGUAGCCCAGAUGACAGGCGAUCCACGGGGGGUUAUGCAGUAUUCUUUGGCUCUAAUUUGAUCGCCUGGAGUGCUCGGAAACAGGCUACUGUGUCACGUAGCAGUACUGAAGCUGAGUACAAGGCUGUGGCUAAUGCUACUGCAGAGAUUAUUUGGGUGCAGUCUUUGCUUCAGGAGUUGGGUUUGUCUCAACCACAGCCUCCUGUUCUUUGGUGUGAUAACAUCGGUGCUACAUACCUUUCUGCAAAUCCAGUAUUUCAUGCCUGAAUGAAACACAUUGAAGUUGACUAUCACUUUGUACGGGAACGUGUAUCACAGAAGCAACUCCAGAUCAAGUUUAUCUCAUCUAAGGAUCAACUUGCAGACAUCUUCACUAAGCCUUUACCGCUGCCACAGUUUGAGGCUUGUAGACGCAAUCUUACCCUUCUCAGUUCUUUAGAAAGUGGCUAAGAUUGAGGGAGGGUGUUAGACUAUGUAUAGCUUCUGUACCUAUGUACGUAUAUGGUACAUAUUGUAACACAACCAUUAUAUAUAAUGAGAUAAGCCACCCCUAGAGGGUUGUGCUGGUUCCCCAAAACUUAUUGUCUUACAAGGAGGAAGCUCUAGGUGCUCGGGCGGCUCCAUGAGAAACACCGUUGGACUCUGGUGAAGGCCGCCGCCCCAAACUGCUCCUCAAAACGCACACAAAGUUGUACACAUGUAAUGCAUUCAUGCAUAACAGAGGGGCACACACACGUGGCCUUUUUUUGCCAAGUCAACUCUUACAAGUGGGACCCACCUGUCAGAAAAGUGUUCAGAGCCCUCUAAUCCGUCGGCCACAUGGUUUACGAAAAAUACUUGCCAUAGAUAUUUUUUGCCAAAAAAAGAGUCAUAAAACCAUUCUUUCUACGAAUAUGUCCCUCCAAGUGGCCGUGCGGGGCCCAUAGGGCAUGUCUCCGCCGGAACGAGACUUGCCUGCUUCCCCGGCGUGUGCCCAUCCGUGCUCCCACGUACGUGGCUUGAUUUGAUUGGAACAAAAUAAGUCCCGGCCCCACCCCCUUAAAAUCAGGAGGAAGAUGAUUAGAUUAGAAAGAAAAGAGAAAAAAAGACAACCGUAGGAUGAAAUGGGAGCACGGAUGGGAGCAUGGGGAGGCAGCAGGCAAGCCGGAUCCGUCUCCGCCUCUCUCUAGCACUCUUUGUCCUAUACUACCUUAAAACUUCUAGAAAUAAUUGAUUUUUCGCUGCCAUCUUCAAGGAAGAAACAAAAGGGGGUACUUUACACUCUCGUAGGGCUAAUCUGUCGGGGUCCUUCCCCUUCGGGUGGGGGAAGUCAAAGCCAUCGACAUCACCAUCACUCCGUUCAUCAUGGGGAAUAUCAUCGUCGAGCACCAUCUCCAUCGUCGCCUCCAUACACCCCUACUUUCCAACCUAUAAAACUAUUACCUUGGAUUUGUUGUUGAGAUCACUUCCUGGUGUUAUUUGAUGUUUGGUUGUUGAUGCUUAUUGGUUUAUUGGUGAAAAUUUUGCAUGUUUAUAUUGUAAUUCAUAUCAUUACCCCACUGAUCAUGAUCAAUAUGAUGUGUUGUGAGUUGUUCGUGACAUUCUUGAGGACUUGGGAGAAACUUUGUUGCUUGUAACUUAUGAAAUUGAGUAAAGUUCAGUGUUAUGGCAUUAUGUUAUGGUGUAAUUUUCUAUUGGUGAUGUGCAAACAUCUAUUGCAUGUCAAGUCACCUUUAUGGGCCUUAGGAGAGCAUUAUGUGAUAUGUUUUCUUAGGAUGAGUGGUUGGUGGGACAAAUAUUACCAUGUCAUGAGUUUGUGAACUGUUGCAUGAUCCCCCAUCCCAAAAUAAGUGUUGUUGAUUUAGUACGACUUUGUACUAAAACUAUACUACAUCAUUGACACUUAUUUUGAGACAGAUGGGGUAUGUAUUUUGUUGAAGUGAAAGUGCAAUCAUGUCCUUAAUUAUAUUUUGAUGUUGAUGACAAUAUACAUAAAGAGGACUAGCAACUUCAGAUUGAGAUCAUGGAUCACUUCCGCGUGGUAGGGAUCGUAGCACUUUUGGUCAUGAAACCAAUCAUGCACACUUUGCCAAAAUGGCGUGCCCUUUCCCUCCGCACCAUGAAACAGAUCCACACUAGUGACCAACCAUACUUCACACAUCAAAUCAUCUUCCUUGUUCGAGUAGGCGGUUCCUCUCUUAUUCUUUAGACCGACACCCGGCGGCCAGUUGUUGUCCGACUCAAAGUAUGGCUGCUUAGUGUAUACCUACUGAGCGUCCGACGGCUAGAUGCCUAGUUGCAACUUUUGCUUCGGUUGCGAGUCAUGCACUUGUCCAUCUUCGUUGUCGCCUUCAUUGUGGAUAAUGUUCAUCAUCACCUUGUCAUUUUUUGUUGUCAUGCUUGGUUGAGGCAUUCUGACAAACAAUGACCGGUUACUAAUGGUUGAGGGCUCCACAACGGGAAUCUGCAACCGAACAUGCUUCCACGACUCCGUGAAGAUGUAGCCGCUAUUGAGUUCAACGAUGAAUGACGCUCGUCGGCCGAAGUUGAAAGGAGGCCAUGGUCUGCUACGACCAUUGUUGCAUGCCAGGCGUAUCGAGAUACUGGGCGGCGUAGUAGUACGACAUCUUCAGCUUGGCAGACUAGGCAUUGCGAUUGAUCGAGCAGCACCAGCAACGACAAUGUGCUUUGGAUGACGAGCUACAUCCUGACCACCCGCCACUACCUUGUUUGCCUUCUUCUGCACUCUGAAGCACCGUCGUUGGUGUUAUGCGACGCAACCUUGCAGGCGACCUCCUCCGGUCCGGGGCAUGUAGGAUAAUGAACAUCGUCUCCAGCUUCUCCGGUGGCUCCAUUGCUGCAACGGAUGGAAAGGCGUGUGUGGGGGGUGGAAGCAACGGGAAGGGCAGGUUUUCGGCCAGGAGGAGUGGCAUGACGCGUGCUCCGACUCAAUUUUGGAUGGAUUCGAUGUGGUGGAUGUCCAGACUCCCCAAAUCUCCCCUCAGUUCGAUGCCGUUUGAGGGAUCCCAAAUGUCCUAACUAGUUUGAACAUCUUAGAUGAGUUGUGUUAGAGCAUCUACAGCCGGACACCCCAAACCCGUCUCAAACGCCCGAGCUGUCCAACCCGGUCAUUGACCGGUCACGAAAAUGCGACCCAGAUGGGCACCUUAAACGGGCCUCAAACGCUCGAGCUGGCUGGCACCCUUGAUAUCCUGCCCAAAUAUGGCGUGGAUAUGGGGGCGCCCGGGCGCGUCCAACACGCUGGACUGACGUCAGGGUUACACAGGAAAACACUCCGAAACCCGACGGUCCGAAGCUCGUUUCUACCGUCGGACCGAUGGUGCCGCGUAGCGCCGUUCCGGUGGGUCAUGUAGUGCCUAGCCCGGCUAUAAGCCGACCGCCCGCACCGAAACCCUACCCGUCCACAUUUCCCCCUCCUGUCUGCUAUCGCCGCCAUUUUCUACUCGUCGUCCGCCGCCACCAGUAGCCAUGCCCCCACACCGUCGGGUAAAGGAGCUACCCAUAUCUAAUGCUGGAGCGCUGGAUGCAGCUCCUUGAGCAGGCCCGGGCAAGGCGCGAAGCCCAGGUCGCCGCGGGGGGCUACUUCUAGAUGUGAUGGAUCCGGUGGAGGAUUUGGAGGAGGAUGAGAUUGAGGAGAAGUAGGAGGAGGAGGAGCCGGAGGAGGACGUGGGGGACGCUGGGGACGCGUAUCUGCAGGCGGACCAGUAGACCAUCCUCGAUUCCCUCCGCUUGGAGUUGGAUGCAUAGGCCAUGCGUAGUCGUCGGCAGGAGAUGGACACAGAGCAAGCUGCGAAAGUCGACCAGAUGCUCGCAUACAUGGAUGAGGAGGAGGAUGAGGAGCUGGAGCCCUUCUAUGCGCCCGUCCACCCGGCGCCCGGCACCUACGUCGUGGACACCUCCGACGAUGAAUAAUAGCUAGCGUGUCGUAGUACGUAGUUUUUUUUUUGCGGUUUUGUAUGGAUUUAGGAGAUGAAAUGUGAGAGACUCGGAUGCAGAGAAGGAAAUUUGAGACGUGACCAGUUACUCUCAGCGGAUGCACCCGACCGCGUCCGCGGAUAUUUGAGGGGUUUCGAUUUGUCAAGUUCGACUGUAUAUGCACUAGAUAUCUUCGUAUCUAGACAAAUCUAAGACAAGUAAUUUGGAACGGAGAGAGUACAUGCUAAGAGUGUUCGUACCACCCGAACAUUUAUGCACAAUCGAUUUUGGGUGAUCCCGUUGGAGUUGGCUUUAGAAUCGAGCCGAGCUGAACGGGCUGGUGGCUCUGUUCGGCCCCGGUCCUGAAAAUCGAGCCGAGCGUGACUCUACUUUUUAAAGAAAACAAGAACGGAAAGGAAAGCGAGCCUUGGGCUCGGGACGCUCUGAGCUCGAGCUCGGCUCGGCCAGCUCACAAUGCCUAGCCACAAAACAAGCCGAGUGCAGCCCCCAACGCGUCUCUCUCUUACUCUGCGCCCGUCCCUAUCCCGACCCCCGCCGCCGCGCCCGCGCCCUUGCGCGGCUUCCGGCCGCCGCCGUUUUUGCCACUUCGCGGUCCUCCGCCGCUCCAUUGCAGGGCGGGCGCGACUUCCCCUGCUAGCCACCGCUCCCUGACUGCUCCUCCCCUCUGAUCCUCCACCGACAGCCGCUGGUGACGUUGCCGCUGGGGGUGCCGCAGCCACCGGCGUCUCACUCCAGGAGAUCGAUUAAGCUCGGGUUCUGCUGGUUGCCAUACUACUCCCCCUACGGCAGAUAUAACGUAAGUUGUUUCCCGUAAGUUGCUGUUUUGUGAUGAUGCAGUGCUACGCUCUGUAUCAAUCUGGUUGAUGGUAAAUGGUACAAGUAGUUUUUGUUCAGCGAUAAUUAAAAUUCUGCAAGAAAAAAAUUGUGUACUCUAGUCUUGAUAUGUUUGAUAUCUUGUAGCGGUCAGGCUGUUGCAGUCCAGAACCUUAACUUUAUGUUAUAGAGAUAACAUGUACAGAGAUCAACAAGGCCAGAACAUACAAGGAUCAUAGACUAAUCUAAGGUGGGAGAAAAGCAAUCCACCUGAGCAACCUGUCUAUGAACCUAGGCUUAGCCCUAUGCACCACGAGAGAUAUUUCAUGGACAAAAUUGCAAUGCGAAUAUGUUUGUAGAUCUUGGCAUUGUGGAUUAGCCAAAUAUGCCAGCAUGCAAGGAAAAGCAUGUUUUUGUUGUGAUAAGAUAACUCCAUGUGGUUUUUGAUAUCUUUAGAGAAUCAUAGUGGUUUGCUGAUAAACUGAUAACCAAUGCUAAUCAUGCGUAUUGCUUUGUUGUGAUAAUUGAUUGAUGUUCUUUAGCAAUCUGCUCUUGCGAUGCUGUGAUAAUUAUGUAUUAGGGUCACUUGUUUUGAGGCUUUGCCAAGAGAGCUAAAACCCCCCAAAAUGCAGAGCCUCUUAUCAUUAGAGAAUAUUUUUCCCACCACCCAGAAAAUUGUUGAAACCAGGAAACUGCUCGGACCCAGUCUUCCGAGCUUCUCGCCUCAUCAAUUUCAGAAAUGCCCUCCGAGUUACAAGGAAAUUACCUCCGUGGCUCCGUAUGCCACCGCUUGCCUCCCUGUUCCCAAACCCGACCCUGCAUGGUUAUCUCGUUGUUCUCUCACAACAUCACGGGUCUCCUACGCUAGGAGAUCGACGCUGCCAAAUGCAUCCACCUCGUCUCGCUACAGGCUAGCUCGACGUCGACCCAUGUGUUGCUGCUUCCAGCUCGUCCUCCACCUCCAGUUAGGUGCUGCUUAGCUCGACCUCGGCCUCCAGCUCACUUCCGACCAGCUCGACCGCAGGAAAAAGUUGGUCGAGGGCAUGUCUUCUCCUUUAUAGCAUCACAUGAUUGUUUUUAUACCUGGGAAUCAUACUCAUGCUCAAGUUAAGCUAUUUUUGUUAGAAUUUACAAGAAUGGCUGUCAUCUACUCUUUUUUUUUUUGCAUUGGUGGGCCUUGGAGAAACACAAAGUCCCAGCAAAGUACAUUACCCUCAUCAAGGACAUGUACGAUAAUGAUGUGACAAGUGUUCAAACAAGUGAUGUCGACACUGAUGACUUCCCGAUUAAGAUAGGACUGCAUCAGGGGUCAGCUUUGAGCCCUUAUCUUUUUGCAUUGGUGAUGGAUGAGGUCACAAGGGAUAUACAAGGAGAUAUCCCAUGGUGUAUGCUCUUUGCGGAUGAUGUGGUGCUAGUUGACGAUAGUCUGACGGGGGUAAAUAGGAAGUUAGAGUUAUGGAGACAAACCUUGGAAUUGAAAGGGUUUAGGCUUAGUAGAACUAAAACCGAGUACAUGAUGUGCGGUUUCAGUACUACUAGGUGUGAGGAGGAGGAGGUUAGCCUUGAUGGCCAGGUGGUACCUCAGAAGGACACCUUUCGGUAUUUGGGGUCAAUGCUGCAGGAGGAUGGGGGUAUUGAUGAAGAUGUGAACCAUCGAAUCAAAGCCGGAUGGAUGAAGUGGCGCCAAGCUUCUGGCAUUCUCUGUGACAAGAGAGUGCCACAAAAGCUAAAAGGCAAGUUCUACAGGACGGCGGUUCGACCCGCAAUGUUGUAUGGCUGAGUGUUGGCCGACUAAAAGACGACAUAUUCAACAUUUACGUGUGGCGGAGAUGCGUAUGUUAAGAUGGAUGUGUGGCCACACGAGGAAGGAUCGAGUCCGGAAUGAUGAUAUACGAGAUAGAGUUGGGGUAGCACCAAUUGAAGAGAAGCUUGUCCAACAUCGUCUGAGAUGGUUUGGGCAUAUUCAGCGCAGGCCUCCAGAAGCUCCAGUGCAUAGCGGACGGCUAAAGCGUGUGGAGAAUGUCAAGAGAGGGCGGGGUAGACCGAAUUUGACAUGGGAGGAGUCCGUUAAGAGAGACCUGAAGGAUUGGAGUAUCAUCAAAGAGAUAGCUAUGGACAGGGGUGCGUGGAAGCUUGCUAUCCAUGUGCCAGAGCCAUGAGUUGGUUGCGAGAUCUUAUGGGUUUCACCUCUAGCCUACCCCAACUUGUUUGGGACUGCAUUCGUUCAUUUAAUUAUAGUUUGAAGUCAUCUGAAUUUGAUUUGGGGGAUGUGCCAUCACUGCCAUGUGAUGUAUCUGAUUCGCAUAUGACUGUUAAUGCAUGUAUAUUAAUGCAGCCUAUUGUGCAAUCGAAAAGCAUGUGUGAUGCGUGCAACUUAUUGCUUACGUCAAAAUAUGACACAACUGAAAUUCUGUUAUGCUGAAGUUUUAUUUUAUUUUGCUUCUGCGGUUAAAUAAUGGAAAAAACGAAAUUAUCUAACAAAAGGAUGUGAUUAAAGUUCAGGGACAUUGUAGACUUUACAUUAGUUGACACAGAAAAGAAGCCUGAAUUCUGUAAGCCAAAAAGAAAAUGAAAAACAGUUUUUCAGAGCUUCCCCCUACUGGAGCUUAUUUCCACCGCAAUCCAUAAGCCUGUUUCUGGAGAUGCUUAAGCUCAAAAGAAGUAAUCAAUGCUGUCUUCUGAGGUUGUGUGCAAUGAAGGUAUGUUUCCUUAAAUGUUUGCUAAUGAUGCAUUCUUCAUAGGCAAAGGCUAACUGUCUUGUACAUAUAUGCUAAAAUAUCAAUGAAGUUAAUGGCAAUCUUACUACCAAGUUGACAACGAUUCACAAUUUGAAACUGAGAUAGGCGCUGACUGAGCGACUGUGUGUGUCAGUUGUUUCAUUUAUGACAACGCACUUGUGUGUCCCAUGUUGUUUUUGGAAAAAUAAAUAAAUCAGGAAACAAAUAUAGGACAAAUACAUAGUGGUACACGUCAUGUUUCAACAAUCACCAAACAAAACAAUGAGGAAACCAACCACUUAUGUGGUUCUAAAAGUCAUUUCUGACACGUGAGUUUCUUAUUUUCUUGUCUUAACAUUCCGGUUAUUCUUUACAGGGCUAUAAAUGGCAGGGAAGCACCGCAUAAGUCGCCAGUACUAUGAGGAACCGCGAGGAUUUCGUGAUGGUCCUCCUCCUCGACUUGCACAAGAAAGGUCUAUCUCACCACGUCGCUUCGAGGGAGAGCUGUCUAGCCGCCGUGAUGAGAUACGCAGAAUCCGUGAUGACAACCAACAUCUGGUGGAUGAAAUUGUUGGACUCAGGCAAGCAAUGUCCCAUUUGAAAGAAGAUCUCUAUUCCUCGAGUCAGGCUAUACCUAAGCUCCGCGCAGAGAAAGAACUUGAAUCGAGGGAGCUGACUCAGAGGAAUCUGAAGCUGGAAGCUGAGCUACGCUCUUUAGAACCUCAUAGGCAAGAUGCCUUGCAGCUACGAUCUGAAGUAGGCACGCUGCAGUCUUUGAGGCAAGAGUUGACUGAAAAGGUGCAGGGUCUAACAAAGGAGGUUGAGCAUCAGAACUCUGAAAAGCAGCGCAUAUCUGCCAUGGUAGCUGAAUGAGAUGGUCUGCGACAGGAACUAAUUCAUACGAGGUAUUGAACCAUUCUGGUCUGCGUUUCUGGUUUAGUAGAUGCAUCAUGCUGUUUUUUUGUCAAUCUAACUUGGUGGCUCAGAUGAGGAAUUUAAUUUUGUAUUUUGAUCCCCCCCCCCCCUUCUUACUUUAGUGUAAGAGUAGCUAAUUAUUAAUAUCACUGCAGGGCCGCUCUUGAUUAUGAAAAGAAUGCAAAGGCAGAGCUGAUGGCACAGGUGCAGGCAGUGGAGAAGGAUCUUGUAACUAUGGCUCAGGAGUCUGAGAAGCUUAGGGCUGAGAUUGAGAAGAGAAGGCCACCUAGUAGGUUUUGUUUCCUCACUUGCAUCCAAGUCAUCGAAAUCUGUUGUGGUUAACCCAUAUCAUACUUAUAAUUUUAGGUUUCAGCGGACAUGGAGCUUACGGACGACCUAUGACAACUCCUGGGAUGGGCUUGCAAGACAUCUACGACAGCGGCUAUUCUUACAGAGAGAAACGCUACGAUGCUGGACCAUGGGACCCCCCUGGCUAUCCGCACCCAUGAUUUGGGCUUUUGAUCCUUGUCAGAGUUCAUCACCGUCAGUACUUGCGACAAAGUUCCUAUCUUAGCACUGAAACUUGUGGUGACUGGUGUUUUCAUGGCGGAUUUGAGUUUUGCUAUAGCUUUGUUGGCAAAUGCGACAGCAUUGUACCAGCGCUGCUUAUAUUGCACCAUUCUUCAGAAAAUCAUAACCGUUGUAGAAGGCGAUUGAUCACAUCAUAGAAGGGAAUAUAUAAUUUGAACUCUAGAAAAUUGCAACAGGGCGUGAAGCCUUCUGAAGGCAGAUUGCUCUUUCGUGACCGGUUUGAUGCGGUUGCUACUCUUUUGGUUUGGGUCGAGCUCUUGCAAGCUUCGAUUGCAUGAGGUGAAAUAUUAUCACCUGCCAAAAAUGAGGACUGAUGCCUAGUUGUGCUUCCUGCAUUGCUGCUUUGCUCAUGUUGAAGGUGGUGAAAAGAAUAACAGCAAUCCCCUUUGUCAUGUCCCGUCUUAUUUUUGAAUUUUUAUUUUUAUUUUGAGUGGUACUCCAGCCAUCCCAAUUUACAUGUCAUUUUCAUAUUUUGUGAUUUUUAAUUGACCAUUUUGUCGGGGAAGGCUGAUCCACCAACACCUAUGGGGACAGGGCCCCCUUUUGGUUCGGAGGGGGGCGGAGGUCGCACAAAGAGCGGAUCGAGGCGGUACAUGCGAGCAGUUUUUACCCAGCUUCGGGCCGCACGGAUGCGUAAAACCCUACUGCUGCUUGUUUGUGUGUAUUGAAUUCUUGCUCAGGAGCGAUGGACGCUGCCAGACUGAGCGUGGGAGUGUUUCUGGUGUUUCGAACGAGUCGAACUGGCCAAACCCCCUCUACGUUGCGCUUGGGCCUCCUUUUAUACUUUCAAGGGGUCAUCGACAGGUGGCAACGUAGACUAGAAGGGUAAAAAUGGAAAAGGAUGCGGUAGGUGCAGCUACCGCUACUGUGGAUACAGUGCACCCUACCUAACUCUGACGGCAGGGGACAAGGGCAUUAAAUGCCUGUCUGAGUUGCCUAAACAGUGCAAAAAGUGACCGUUAGGAGCGCCACCGUUUGCCACGAUGGCCUUCUCUUCAUCUCCGCUUGCCACCGCGCACCCCUAGCUGCGCAGCCUCCUGCCACGUGUGCUUGGGAGAGUCCUAGAGCGACACGUUAGCAGGUGUGCUGGAGCGCGGGCACGAAGUGGGGGUUUCCCGCGGCAAGCUCCUUGCCGCGGUCGUCGUCUUGUCGUGUUUGGGAGCUUGUUGCUCACCAGGCCUUGCCGGGACGCAGGGCGCGUCGCGGCAAGCUUUCUUGGUAUGCCUUGAGUGGCCUUCCCGGCAAGCUCCUCUUGCCGGGGUCUUGUCUCUUCCCGGCAAGAUCCUCUUGCCGGGGCCUGGGUUAGCCUUCCCGGCAAGCUCCUCUUGCCGGGGCCUUGGUUGGCCUUCCCGGCAAGCUCCUCUUGCCGGGGCCUUGGUUGGCCUUCCCGGCAAGCUCCUCUUGCCGGGGCCUUGAUUUGAGUACUUUGUUCUUGAAUGGUCUUCAAGGAAGCCACGGAGGGUCUUGGCGGUCACCCGGCAAGCCUUGCCGCGGGGCGCUGCAACUGCCCGUGCACGAGUUCGGGAUACUAGGGUACCCCUACUCUAGUACACCGACAGGAGCCCCCGGGCCUGGGCCAUACACGGUGCUGAGCGCUGUUGGGCCAGGCCCAAAACAGUGCACGGGCACGCGCGGCCUAGGUCACGCCGCAUAUCUCUCCGCUCCCACCGCGCACGCCCAGAACGGCACGCGUCAAACGCGGCGUCGUGGGUGACGCGGGCGGCGUGCGCGGGGCUAAGCCCCUCGAGCAUGCGUCAGGCCACGAUGAUGGGGACGGUUCACGCCCUCCUCCUUAAACGGAGGUAGGAGUGGGGGCGUGAUGCAUUUACUGGACGGGGCCGGUGCGCGGUUUUCGGGACAUCCACUCCCCGCGAUCACAAGGCGGAGCGAGGCCGCCUCAUCCGUCACCUUGGUUCUGCAUCCCCGCCACGCGGCUCCCAUGCGCUUGGAGUCGCGGACGGUGGAAGUGGGAAACUGGGCCGUCGCGAGCAGAGGCAGCGGGUUGGCCCCGACUCCCUGCUCUUCCCGUGCCUUGAUUCGCUGAGCGGGGCGGCCGAGCCCCCACCUCGCUCCUUUAUAAAGAGCGGGAGGGGAGCACAGAAACCCGCACUCUCUCAUCUCCUCCUUUCUUCAGCUUCUGCUCCCCUUUCUCUCAUUCGCCAUGGAGAAAGGGAACCCAGGCCCUUCAUCGGUGGCGGCGAGGGUCGCCGCCAGACAGCGCAUCUCUCCCUCUCCCGCGCCCGUGGUGGCAGAGCCAGCCAUAAGGGGAAGAGGGAGGGGGCGAGGUCGCGGAUGAGGUCGAGGACGAGGUCGAGGCGCUCGGGGAAGAGGCGGGCGGGGCGGCGCGCCAGCUUCGCCUCCGCCGGCGGCUCCUUCCCCCACGGCGGUCCAUAUAGGGGACGACCCUUGCGAGUUCUUCGUCAAGCUGCGCCGGGCGCCUCGUCGUCGCCUCCGGCUUCCAGCUCCGUUUGCGAGCGCGAUGGAGUUGGACCCGCCCGAGACACUGAGACUGCACAUGAGGGGCUGUGGGAUCAGCGACACGCGAGUCCGCGUUGUAUUCCCAGCCCCUAAUGUGAUGUAUCUUGAUCGAGGGUGGAAGACGUUCGCCCGUAUCCACAGCCUGAUGGAGGGGUUUACCCUCCAUUUUAAGUUGAUAGAGGGCGAUCUCCUCUCCGUCAAGGUCUUCGGGUGCUUCGGCACUCAGGCGAAGUGCUGCGUGGACAGCUCCUCCGAUAGCGAAGGCUCCUCCUCGAGCGAUAUUGACGAGGAGGAGAGCGACAGCGACGAUGAGGGUAGCGGGCGGCGGAGUGGCGGGUCCGACUAGGCGUCGGGCGCCGCUUCGCGCGGCACCGGCGACCCCAUCAUCCGUGUCGCCGGCUUCUUGAACUCUCCGGGGUCGUCUCCUUGGGCGGCUGGCGUAGGGAGGCUGCGAAAGGGGAAGAGGGCUGGCGACAAGGCCGUCAGGUCGGAGUACGAGGGCGUGGUGCCCUCGACAGCGUGCUGACGUCCUGCCGCCCCGUCUUCGAGCCCCGCUUUCAGCGCCGCCAUCGCUGUCCAGCCUUCGGGCGGCCCCCGGGAUGUUCUCUUGGUGUCUUCUGGCACCCGUAGCUCGCCUAGGCGCUCCUUUUGCCCUUUUCGCCUCCUUGACCCGCCUCCUGAAGAGAGGGACAGGAAAGGGAUUACGGGCAUCUUAUCUUUUUAAUUUGUAAGCCCUCGGGCCUUAGCUGUAUCUAAAACUUGUAAUCCUCUCUUUCAUGUUUUUCAUCCUCUAUGGACUGUACCUGAGUGGGAUAUUUUUUAAUGAAAAAGGGAUGCUUGCCGGGUUAUUUGUCUCGCGAGUUGAACCCACGCCAAGGAGCAAAUCCUUGGUAUCCCUCGGACAGACAUUUCAUCUCCCGGCAACAGGCCCUGCCGCCUUCCCACGUCGCUCGACCUUUCUCACGCCUUUGACGGAGGCGGGAACGAGAUGGGUGCGGUCUCCUUGUUUCAUCCCUUUGCUGCCGCGACUACGACCAAACUUGGCCCCGGGAACGAGCCCCAGGGCCUAGAGUUGAGGGAGCACGGCAGUUUUCGGGAAGAAACGCGGUUUCGCAUUCCCCAGUCCAUAAAAGGAUGCAUGAUGAGGGAUGAAAGACUUAUCUGAUAUUGCAGCCCCCGGCAACUCUGGUUUGCCAUGGACGAUUCUUGGCACUCGCAGCCCCCAGCAAUACUGGCUUGCCGGGGCCCAGGUGCCGGCACGCCCUUCUUCUCCUUUUCGUUCUCAAGCAGUCUGGCCAAGAUAUGCGAGCCCUGCGAACGAAAGAGAAGCAAAAGGACGGACACUCGACCUCUAGCGUAGAUUAGGCCGUCCGUUUUCUUCUUUUCUUGUCGCUGCCAGUCAUGUCAUGGGAACACUUUAUUAGAGGCGCGGCAAGUUAUUUUUGUAAUAUAACUCUAUCUUAGGCAAAAAAUUGCUGUGUUACUUCCUUUACUCGACUCUUGGCUUUGUAUGGUUCUGCCCUACGCUUUCUAGGAAAACUUGCCGGUGCAGGUACCCUUGCCGCGAGCGCCGAGUGCGGAACUUCAGCAGCCUGCUGGCGGGGUCGCUACCGACAAGCAACCUUGUCGCAACUAGUUGCAGCUCACUUAAGUUGUUGAGCGGACUCGAAACAAAGUAAGGGCGCUAGCGGCUCACUUAAGUUGCUGAGCGAACUUGAAGCAAAGUAAGGGCGCUAGCAGCUCACUUAAGUUAUUGAGCGGACUCGAAAACAAAGUAAGGGCGCAGCUAGCUACGAGUUGGUUCCUCCGCGCACAGGUUUUCCAUAUAAAGCACGGUCGUUCAAGGAAAAUAACUCAAAAACUUAAAAAACUGAUUGCUCAAGCUUUAGCAACUUAGCUUUUCUGUCUUCUGCUUCCCGGCAAGGAGAAACUUUCUUGAACGGCCUGGUCCACACCAUUAUCUUCUCCUCCCCCCCGGUAAACCUUGUGGGCGAUGGAACCUUCCUUCUUUUGAGAAAGAAACAUAGAAAUAAAGUAAUGAUAUGGAGCCUUGGGCUCGUUAUCGCUUACCGGGAUCUGGUGCUGCACAAAGUGUCAGAUAACAUAUGCGAAAUAGGAUUAUAGCAUAAAAAACUGACAAGAUGUGCGGGGCACAUGAGCUUUACUGGUGCACGGGGUCUGCGCCCGGCUUUGUACAAAGGAUUACAUGCAACAGCGGCAAGACUUGUACAAAAGGUGGUUGCCGGAAAAGCUUCCGGCAACCGCGCCCUACGGGUAAAACUUACGAAGAUGUUCAAUGUUCCAGGAGUUGCUCACCGGAAUGCCAUCUUCGGUCUCAAGGCGGACAGCGCCGGGCCUAGUGACUCGUUUCACCCGAUAAGGGCCUUCCCACUUCGGCGUCAACUUGUUGGAAUUCUUGGUGGACUGAACGCGCUGAAGAACAAGGUCGCCUUCCUCGAAGCUCAUGGCUUUAACUUUGCGGCUAUGGUAGCGACGCAAAGCUUGCUGAUAGCGAGCGGCUCGCACAGCAGCCUGGAGAUGGUCUUCCUCAAGGAGCAGCGCGUCAUCUUGUCGCAGCUGCUCUUGCUCGAGCUCAUCAUAAGCGAGCACUCGAGGUGACCCGUAAACGAGUUCCGUGGGGAGAACUGCCUCCGCUCCGUAGACUAGAGCGAAGGGUGUCUGGCCAGUGGCUCGAUUUGGCGUCGUUCUGAUCGACCAAAGAACCACCGGCAGCUCCUCGAUCCAGUUUCUUCCGCACUUGUGCAGCCUGUCGAAAGUUCUGGUCUUGAGGCCUCGCAGCACUUCAGCAUUUGCCCUAUCCGCUUGACCGUUGCUUCUCGGAUGAGCAACAGAAGCGAAGCAGACCUUGGCACCAAGAUCUUGGACGUACUGCAUGAAGGCGCGGCUCGUAAAUUGCGUGCCGUUGUCGGUGAUGAUCCUGUUAGGGAUCCCGAAACGGCAAACAAUCGACCUGAAGAACUUGACUGCUGACUGUGCUGUCACCUUCCUCACUGGUUUCACUUCCGGCCACUUUGUGAACUUGUCGAUUGCAACGUACAAGAACUCAAAGCCCCUGACAGCUCGGGGGAAGGGGCCGAGGAUGUCGAGCCCCCAGACCGAAAAUGACCAGGAUAAAGGGAUCGUCUGGAGAGCUUGAGCUGGUUGGUGUAUCUGCUUGGAAUGGAACUGGCACGCUUCACACUUGGUUACUUGUGCAGUUGCAUCCUGGAGGGCUGUCGGCCAGAAGAAGCCUUGUCGGAAUGCUUUGCUGGCAAGUGCUCUUGUGCCAAUGUGAUGACCACAUAUGCCUCCAUGUAUCUCUGCCAACAGCUGUUGUCCAUCUUCCCGGCGAAUGCACUUCAAUUUCACACCGUUGAGUCUUAUUCUGUACAGUGUGUUGUCGACAAACUGGUACAUACUUGACUGCCAGGCUACUCUUUCAGCUUCUUCUUGCUCUUCGGGAAGCUCUCCUGUCUGGAGGAAACGGACAAUCUGCUGCGCCCAUGCUGGAGCUUGUGGCUCGACAACAAGGACUAAAGGCGUAUCUGUUGCUGCGGGAACAUCCGCUUCUACGGCAAGAACGUGCGGUUCUGCCGGAGCGUGAUAUUCCCCGGCAAGCUUGCCGGAGCAAAACUUGUCGGGAGCGUCUGCUUCGACGGAACAAACCAUAAGGUUUGCCGGAGCAGACUGCCGCGGCGGCUUCGGGGAGCUCUGCCGGAAAGUAGUCACCAGAAAUCAACUUCCUCUUCUUAUUCUGUCCAGUUGAUGGUGUCACGGAUGGUUGAGUCAGCUUGAGCACAAAAAUCCCUGGUUCCACAGGUAACUUCAGUGCUGCGCACUUUGACAGGCCGUCAGCAAUGUCAUUCUGAGCUCGCGGAACAUGCUCCAUUUGCAGGCCGUCAAAGUGCUCUUCUAGCUUUCUCACUUCAUCAACAUAAGCUUCCAUCAACGGACUCUGGUAGUUCUUGUUCACUUGGCGGACGACAAGCUGUGAGUCACCCCUUACAAUGAGUUUCUUGAUCCCAAGGUCGGCUGCGAUUCUGAGGCCGGCAAGCAAACCCUCAUACUCUGCAGUAUUGUUCGUUGCUUGCUCCUUGGGAAAGUGCAUCUGGACUACGUACUUGAGGUGCUCUCUGGUGGGUGCGAUAAGCAGCACGCCUGCGCCGGCGCCUUGCAGCGAGAAGGCACCAUCAAAGUACAUCAGCCACUCUUUGCUUGCCUCUUUGACGGGGAUGCUCGUCUCUGGAAUUUCUUCGUCUGGGGUUGGCGUCCACUCUGCUAUGAACUCUGCCAAUGCCCUGCUUUGGAUUGUUGCAGUGCUCUCAAACUUGAGGCCAAAGCUUGACAGUUCCAAUGCCCACUCGACAAUCCUGCCUGUUGCUUUUGGAUUCUGCAGUAUCCUCUUCAGCGGAAAGCGAGUGACAACUGUGAUCUCGUGUGCCUAGAAGUAAUGGCGCAGCUUUCUCAAGGCCAUGAGAAGGCCAAAAAGCAAUUUCUGUACGCCAGAAUACCUUGAUCUAGCCCCCUGGAGAAGGGAGUUGACAAAGUAAACUGGGCGUUGCACCAUCUUCUUCUGCACCUCCUUGCACGUCUAUGCAGAUUCAACUUUGUCGGGGCCAGAGCUUGUCGGAGAAGCCCCCUGCUUGUCGCUGGAUUCACUUGUCGCGGUCGCUGGCUCAUCAUCCGCCUCCCUCUCCGCUACUAACGCAGCACUAACCACUUGAUUGGUUGCCGCUAGGUAUAGCAGCAAUUUCUCUUGUGGCUUAGGUGCGACAAGUAUUGGAGUGGAGGACAGGUACCUCUUCAAGUCCUGCAGCGCAUCCUCCGCUUCCGGAGUCCAUUUCAUUGGACCUGCCUUUUUCAAUAUUUUGAAAAACGGCAAGGCGCGCUCUGCGGACUUAGAGAUAAACCUGCUGAGAGCAGCCACGCAUCCGGCAAGCCUUCGCACAUCCUUGACGCGCUUCGGUGCUUCAAUCUGCUUGAUGGCCUUGAUCUUGUCGGGGUUGGCUUCAAUUCCCCGCUGAGACACAAAGAACCCGAGAAGCUUGCCGGAAGGGACUCCAAACACGCACUUCUUGGGGUUGAGCUUGAGGUUGAUCUUGCGUAGAUUUGCAAAAGUUUCUUCUAAAUCUUGGAUCAGGGUAGCCUUGUCCUUGCUCUUGACCACUAUAUCAUCCAUGUAGGCUUCCACAUUUCUGUGUAUCUGUGGCUCAAAAGCGACAUGGACCACCCUUGCAAAUGUUGAACCAGCAUUCUUCAACCCAAAGGGCAUCCGUACAAAACAGUAUGUGCCGCAAGGGGUGAUAAAUGCGGUUUUUUCCUCAUCCUCUUCUGCCAUGAAGAUUUGAUGGUAUCCUGAAUAUGCAUCAAGAAAUGAAAGCAAAUCACAUCCAGCUGUGGAGUCAACAAUCUGGUCAAUGCGCGGCAAGGGGAAUGGGUCUUUGGGACAAGCUUUAUUGACAUCAGUGAAGUCUAUACAAAGCCUCCAUUUCCCGUUCGCCUUGCGCACGACUACAGGAUUGGCCAACCACGUGGGAUGGAGCACUCCUCUGACAAGGCCUGCUGCUUCCAAUUUCCUGAUCUCUUCUGCGAUGAAUUCUUGGCGCUCCACUGCCUGCUUCCUGACUCUCUGCUUGACGGGCCGAGCAUGAGGACAGACGGCAAGGCGGUGCUCAAUUACUUUCCUGGGAACACCGGGGAUAUCAGACGGUUGCCAUGCAAACACGUCGACAUUCGCCCGCAGGAAAGCAAUGAGCGCGCUUUCCUAUUUGGGAUCAAGCGUGGCACUGAUGGUGAAGGUACCACCAGUGCCAUCCUCCUUGGCGGACACCUUCUUGGUCUCGGGUGGAGUUGCCAUCGUCUUCUUGCACUUGCCGGUGGAGCUCGAUGGUGCGUCCUCGACGGUAGCGCAGCACUCCAAAGAGAUGCGCUUGCCGGAGUGGGCAUCAGAGCUCUUGCCGGACUUUGUCUUCUUCUUCCCUCCGGGAGCUUCAGCGGCAAGUGUCUUGCGCUCUGCUGCGGCUGCUGCUUCCCGGUAGAUCUUGUCGGCGCAGAUAAGGGCAUCCUUCUUGUCGCCGGGGACAGAGAUGACACUUAUCGGGCCUGGCAUCUUCAGUAUGUUGUACGCAUAGUGAGAGGCUGCCAUAAACUUGGCGAGCGUUGGACGGCCAAGGAUCCCAUUGUAGGGCGAUGGAAAAUCGGCAACGUCAAAUGUGACCCUCUCAGUUCUGAAGUUCAGCUCGCUGCCAAAUGUGACCGGCAGCAUGAUCUUCCCCUUCGGCUUGCUCCUUCCCGGGUUGAUUCCUUGGAAUGUGCCGGUCUCUUCGAGCUCGCUGUCAGGGAUCUGAAGUUUCUGGAGGACCGCGGAGGAUAUCAGGUUCAAGCCGACCCCGCCGUCAACUAGCAUCUUCGUGACCUUGAGGUUGCGGAUAGUUGGUGAAACCAACAUCGGCAAGCACCCGACCGCAGUUACGCAAUCAGGGUGAUCCUCAAUGUCGAAGAUGAUAGGCGUGCUGGACCAUUUCAGAGGCUUGCGUGACUCUAUGGAUGGCUCUGUUGCAUUCACUUCCCGCAUCCACUGCUUGAGUUGGCGGUGCGAAGUAUGCAGAGAGGCGCCACCAUCAACGCACAGGACCUCUGUGGCUUUCUGAAAUUCCUGCUCAUCGUCCUCAUCAUCAUCCACGUCUUCAUCAUCGUCGUCGUCAUCUUCAUCCUUGUCGCGGCCGCGGGGAGGUCUGUCUCCUUGUCGCUGCUUGGCCUUGCCGCGGCGUCCUCCUCGGCCGGGACGUUUCUUGCCGGAUCCACCAGUUCCUUCCUGGGCCUUCUCCUUGUCGCGCCGCUCGUACUCAGCUUUCUGUUGCUCAACAAGCUGUUCGACUUUCUUGCAGUUCUGGAGAUCGUGACCCUUGGUGCGGUGAAUCUUACAGUACUGCUUGCCGGAGUUGUCCUGCUUGUCGGCGGCCGCCACAGGCUGGGCCUCCUUGUCGGAGGCACCAGCUUUAGCUUCCUUGGCGCCACCUCCGUUGCCGGUCUGCUCGACAGCUAGCACUUCCUUGCCCUUUUUCCUUCUGUUGUUCCGUCUCCGGCCUUUCCUUGUCGGGGCGGCAUCCUCACUGUCGGAUCCUCCUGCACCUGUACUCUCUCCGGGGAGCCUCCUCCCCUCUUCAGCGCGUGCACACUUGUCGGCCAGGGCGUAAAGCUCGCUGACGUCUCUGAUCUUAUACAUCGCCAUCUCCUCCCUCAUCCUUCGGUUUCGCACGUUCUGAUGGAACGCGCUGAUGAUCGCGGCGGGGUGGACGUCUGGGAUGUUGUGUUGUACACGGCUGAAUCUCUGAAUGUACUUGCGCAGUGGCUCUCCUUCCUUCUGGGCGAGCAGAUGAAGAUCGCUCUCUUGGCCAUGUGGCUUGUGGCCGCCUAUAAAGGCACCGACAAACUGAUGGCACAGAUCAGUCCAGGAGGAUAUGGAGUUGUCCGGCAAGUGCAUGAGCCAGGAUCUGACAUUGGGCUUGAGUACCAGCAGGAAGUAGUUGGCAAGGAUCUUGUCGUCCCGUCCCCCGACAGCCUGCACCGCGAUGGUGUAGAUGCUGAGAAACUCCGACGGAUGCGUCUUGCCGUCAUACUUCUCUGGUACGUCUGGUUUGAAAUUCUUUGUGCUGGGCCACUGGACUUGCCGCAGCUCACGGGUGAACGCAGGACAACCUACCGCGUACGGCAGAUCGCCUGGUUCCCCUGGCGCAUGCAUGUCAACAGAGGGCCCAGCGCGCUUGUCGGAUUGACGUCGCGCUUCUCUUCGGCGCUCGAUGCGGGUUUGAGUGUCUUCUUGUUGUCGUUCAUGGAGAACUUGGCGCUGGUCGCGACGAGCUCGUGGGUCCGACGAUGCGGUGGAGCCGCUGUCGGGGUGGACCCGGCGAGUCGGCGAUUUUGGCCUUCGUAGCGGAGAGUGCAUGGAAGUCGCACCUCCCCCGGUCUUGUUGCCAUCGGCUCGCGUCCGGCUGUCCUGCCGCGGCAGCGAGGUGCUUGGUUGCCGCGCAGUGUCGCCGUUGGCGAAGCCGAUGAGGCUCUGGAUAGUGGCCCUCCAUUCGUCGGUCUUGUCCGCCGCCGGAGGAUAGUCUAGGAGCAGUUGAGCUCGCGCCAAGGCUUCUGCUGGAGUGGUGGGCGGCGGAGGUGAACGGUGCGAGGAGUGGGGCAUGCUCGGACUCCUAACCACGUUAGAAGGAGCAGUGCCCCGUCCAGGCGACCGUACUUCGCUCGAGCCAGCAUGUUGACGUGCAUGUUGGUCUUGAGCGCCACGAGAGCCACCAGCUUGAUCUUGGUCCAGCGGACGUAUGGCGCUGCGAACGCCAUGACGCUGCUGGUCCCGCGCCUCCUGAGAGGGACGCGGUGCGCGCAUGGACGCCGAGGUCUGUGCCGCCUUGUCCUUGGACUUGGCCGCACUGAGAGCUCCCUCGUCGACGCCCAUUCUUCCGCCGGCGUCCACUCCACCACCCGUUUGCUCCGGAGGUGGUGAAAGCAACGCAGACGGAACAACUACCUCCGAAUCCUUCUUCUACGAUGGCAUGUCGAUGAAGACGCUGAAGAUUUAGCUUGCGUGCACGCCGGAUCGGGUUCGCACAAUCUCGACGCCCCCUACCUGGCGCGCCAGAGAUGUCGGGGAAGGCUGAUCCACCAACCCCUAUGGGGACAGGGCCCCCUUUCGGUUCGGAGGGGGGUGGAGGUUGCACAAAGAGCGGAUCGAGGCGGUACACGCGAGCAGUUUUUACCCAGCUUCGGGCCGCACGGAUGCGUAGAACCCUACUGCUGCUUGUUUGUGUGUAUUGAAUUCUUGCUCAGGAGCGAUGGACGCUGCCAGACUGAGCGUGGGAGUGUUUCUGGUGUUUCGAACGAGUCGAACUGGCCGAACCCCCUCUACGUUGCGCUUGGGCCUCCUUUUAUACUUUCAAGGGGUCACCGACAGGUGGCAACGUAGACUAGAAGGGUAAAAAUGGAAAAGGAUGCGGUAGGUGCAGCUACCACUACUGUGGAUACAGUGCACCCUACCUAACUCUGACGGCAGGGGACAAGGGCAUUAAAUGCCUGUCUGAGUUGCCUAAAAAGUGCAAAAAGUGACCGUUAGAAGCGCCACCGUUUGCCACGAUGGCCUUUUCUUCAUCUCCGCUUGCCACCGCGCACCCCUAGCUGCGCAGCCUCCUGCCACGUGUGCUUGGGAGAGUCCUAGAGCGACACGUUAGCAGGUGUGCUGGAGCGCGGGCACGAAGUGGGGGUUUCCCGCGGCAAGCUCCUUGCCGCGGUCGUCGUCUUGUCGUGUUUGGGAGCUUGUUGCUCACCGGGCCUUGCCGGGACGCAGGGCGCGUCGCGGCAAGCUUUCUUGGUAUGCCUUGAGUGGCCUUCCCGGCAAGCUCCUCUUGCCGGGGUCUUGUCUCUUCCCGGCAAGAUCCUCUUGCCGGGGCCUGGGUUGGCCUUCCCGGCAAGCUCCUCUUGCCGGGGCCUUGGUUGGCCUUCCCGGCAAGCUCCUCUUGCCGGGGCCUUGGUUUGAGUACUUUGUUCUUGAAUGGUCUUCAAGGGAGCCACGGAGGGUCUUGGCGGUCACCCGGCAAGCCUUGCCGCGGGGCGCUGCAACUGCCCGUGCACGAGUUCGGGAUACUAGGGUACCCCUACUCUAGUACACCGACACAUUUUGACCGAACUAUGAAUGUCAUGUGUUAUAAAAAUGUUUCCAUUAGGCAUUUUUGUGGUAUAUAACCCAUGUUUUAUUGGUUGAAUUGAUUGUCAAACUUGAACUGGAACACGAACCCAUCAACAUUAUGUUCUAACAUAAAAGUAGUUAAGUACUCGUCAACUAGUCAGCCUGUGCGGAUCAACAUUCUGUUCUAACAUAAAAGUGUCAUUUUAUUUGAAUGCUAAGUUUGAGAGUUUUUAUCUAUUUUUUUGCCUGGGUGUGUUCCCUAAAAGAGUGGAGAUGGGGAUACUGUGCUUUUGACGUUUCUUAUAUGUCAAAAUCUGAAUUAUAUUACACAUGUACAUGUAAAUUUUCAUGGAAAAAAGGAUAAAUUGUUUGGCUUGUGUGGGGAAAAUGAUGCCCCGAAAAUUGCCUUUUUAGAGCACUGACCCAAAAUGCUGCCUCUUCCAUUGCUCGGGGGAUUGAGGAUUUCAUGAUUUAAAUUCAAGAACUGUAACAAGUAUAGCGCAUUUGGUGUAGAGGCAUCAUAGUACCCUCCCACGGUACUGACCAGGGUUCGAUUCCCUGGAUGCGCAACUUUAUUUUUUUUCUUUGUGUAGGAAGGUUUUAUUAGGCUUGACACUAACAUGUCCUUUUUGGACAUGGAGUUUCUGCGCGUAGAAUUUCAUGAUGAAAUAACGUUCGUGGAGCUCAAGGCAAAAAUAACAAAAUCGAUGCUCCAGUAAGUCUUGGUUGCACAACUAUUUUUUUUGAAAGCUUGAUACGCACUAUGACUGUUUCUUUACAGUGUCCUUUUCGAACAUGGAGUUUCUGCAUGUAGAAUUUCAUAAUGAAAUAACGUUCGUGGAGCUCAGAGCAAAAAUAACAAAAUCGAUGCUCCAGAAAGUCUUGGUUGCACAACUAUUUUUUUGAAAGCUUGAUGCGCACUAUGUCUGUUUCUUUCAGUGCUGCAGUUUCAGUUUCUAUUGGGCUUGACAAUAACAUGUCCUUUUUGAACAUGGAGUUUCUACACUUGAGCUCAAAUGCAUCCUUGUGAAGAAUGAAAUAAAAAAUAAUAGUAAGCAAAUUAUAAAAAUCUGAUUUAUUUGGCAACAAGCAUUGUCGAAUUAUCUUCGUGCAUGCAAAAUAUCGUGAUGAAAUAACGUUCGUGGAGCUCCGAAAAAAAACAACAAAAUCGAUGCUCCACAAAGACUUGGUUCCCCAACUUUUUUUUGGGUGGGGGGGGGAGGGAUGGUGUUGAUCCUCUACUAUGACUAUUUCUUUUAGCACAAACAGUUCUUUUGGGCUUGACACUAACAUGUCUUUUGGCCAUGAAGUUUCUACACUCGUGCUCAAGUGCAUCCUUUUUUUAAACAGAGCUCAAAUGCAUCCUUGUGAACAAUAAAAAAUAGUAAAUAAAUUUCAAAAAAUCUGAUUUUUUGGCAACAAACGUUGUUGAAUUAUCUUCGUGCGUGCGAAAUUUCAUGAUGAAAUAACGUCUGUGGAGCUCUGGGCAAAAAUAAUAAAAUAGAUUCUCCAAAAGCGAAAAUGUUAAAUGGGUCGCACUGGUAGAUAGUACUAUUAUCUCGGCCGCCGGUCCACCUCGAGAUGCCCGCCACUAGUAGUAUUUAAUGUGGUAUUUCGAAUGGGCGCUCUGUUUUGCACAGUUCCUGCAUGGUUUGGCGCUAGUCCUUAAAUUGGCCCAACAACUCUGGCACUCUACGGUCUCGGUCUUGCACCACGCUAGGUGGACCGUUGUACUCUCGAUUGUGGGCCGUCACCGGCAUCUUCCCCCCGAAGCCUCCACGUUAUUUAUUAUUCCCCAUCGACAGAUAGUCGCUAGCCAUCCCCACCCCCUCCCCCUCCCCAAUCCACUGUGCGACCGCAUCCAACUCUGUACCACCCAUGGCGUCGUCUUCGUCCUCGAUCCCCCAGGCCGUUGACACGGAUCUGCUCCCGCUCAUUCCCUGCCCCCGUUGCGGUCGUCAAGUGCUCACCGACAUCUCGUCCGGUGGGAAGAGGCCUGGGAACCGCUACUACAAGUGCAUCCUCCGGAGCGUGAGAUCCCUAAAUCUUAAUCUCCGGAUUUGAUGUUGAAUUUUUAGUUUUCCUUUCAAAGCACAGCCUGUUCUUGUUUCGUGUUUUUUUGUUUGGUUUCAUCCUAGUCUGGCCAGUGCCCCUUCUUCGAAUGGCAGGAGUCGUACCGUGCUGUACUGGAGGCCGUUCGCGCUCGAGCUUUGCUCGCCCCGCCAUCGCCUCCUUCCACUGGACUACUUCACCGCACUCUUCGGCAGGAACUCGGCACACAGCCUGCUCCAUGCGCCCCGCAAGUCUGCGCCCCCGCAAGUCUGCGCCCCCGCCACGCCGUCGGCGCCGAGCGGCGAUUUGUCCAGGGUUGCUAUCAUGCUCAGUGCCACCAACCUUAUGGUCACCGUCAUCAUGCUGGGCAUAUGCGUCCUCAUUCUGGCGAUUGUGUACUUCAAGUGAUGUAGUGCACACGCAGCAGCUCACUGAAUGUAGUAAUGUGGUCCGGGCUUAGUAUUAGUAGCGCCGCAAGUGUACUGCUCUGUGUUUAGAUUUCAGGGCAUAGUGUGUUCGCAGAGUCAGUUUGUCCUCACAUUUGUAGUCAAGUUGAGCUUCGCUGUCACUGCUUUAUUAAGUUCUAGUGUGAUCCCCAUGUAAUCAGGCUUCAUUUGUUAGACGUAUUAAUAUUAUGUUAUCUCGAAUUUGCCACGUUGGAAGUUUGUUUCUGGUUUAUCCCAUCGUGUACAUCUACCUGCUGUCCAGUGCAUUUACACAGUUAGGAGACACCUUACUCGGUCCGUGUAAAUGCUGCCCCAACCACCACCCACCUCCAUCAGUGCUUCUGGCGGUGCUAUCUCUACCCUCACCCGGCCUCACCCACCAUAGCUCCUCUCCUCCAGGUUGACGAUUUUCUUUACCAAGGUUUGGUUCCCUCUAACAAUAAUCCUGCCCCUCCAUCCCCGCUCAAUUUUUGAUGCUUGUCUCUCAUGCUUGCUGCCGUUUGUUUUGCCACCAGAUGUCUUGCUCCGGGAGUUGCGAGGGAGAUGAUGAUGCAGCUGACCAGCACCAUGCCCCUCAGAUCCAGGGUUCAGAUCUGAACAAGGAAGGUGUGACAUACACUUCAAGGAUCUCUGUGAAGCAAGUCGUCAGUGUCAUCGAGGGGUUUACCGAGUACAAGAAGUGGCUGGUGGAGGAGAUCAGAUUUGGAGGUAUACUUAAGCUACAUAAGUACCAGAAGUUGAAUCUUAGACUUAGUUCUUGGUUAAUGAGCAAGGUAGACGUGCAUCGGCGUGCUAUAUGCAUCACCGAGAAGAAGGUGUUGAGGUUCUGGGCAGAGGAUGUAGCUAAGGUGUUCGGAGUACCGGCUGGCAGUCGUGAUGUCAAAGGCCGUGAUGCAGACAUCAACCCUGAUUCAGUUGAGUUCAUCAAGCGCACGCUUAGGAUGGACCAAGCUGGAGCUCACAGCCUUAGAGCAGCAGAGGAUUUCUUGAAGAGGGAUAUAAUAGAGGACUCUGGCAAGCUGGAGAAGGAUUUUUUCCAGAUAGCUUUUGUCAUAUUUGCAAUGGGACAUCUUCUAGCCCCGUCUACGAAGCACAAU